This 354-nucleotide ribosomal RNA is filed under the name Triticum aestivum (bread wheat). Its description in RNAcentral is "partial small subunit ribosomal RNA". Lineage: Eukaryota; Viridiplantae; Streptophyta; Magnoliopsida; Poales; Poaceae. The record is from RNAcentral.
AUGAACGCGCCAGAGCAUCCGAACCUAGCUGUAUUCAUGCUGGGAAGGAGUGUCCAAGUGUGUGUCUCUGAGUCAUACAUCUCUACGGAGCUCAAGUGACUAUUAGAAGAAUCAGCGCCUCCCGCGACAUACGCCUUCUCCCCGACACUUGCUGACCCAAAGCAGUACCGCGGAGUGUUCAUCUCAUCCGCCAGCCAUGUCCAUGAAUUGGUAAGGAUGCUAUAUCUCCAGGCAACCCUUCCGAAGUCCCCAAACACCAGCAGCUCGGUUCCUACAGCAAGAGAGUCCCAGUAGGAGCUUUCAGCCGGUGGAAUCUUGGGCACAUGGAUCCAGCGCCCAGUGGACGGGUCAUAA